RNAcentral lists this ribosomal RNA (483 nucleotides) under uncultured bacterium. Its description in RNAcentral is "bacterial SSU rRNA". It matches the Rfam family "Bacterial small subunit ribosomal RNA", at positions 25 to 507 of the family's 1533-position model. The record is from RNAcentral.
CAGGACGAACGCUGGCGGCGCGCCUAACACAUGCAAGUCGAACGGAGCUACGUUUUCAGAAGUUUUCGGAUGGACGAAGAUUUAGCUUAGUGGCGAACGGGUGAGUAACGCGUGGGUAACCUGCCUUUUAGAGGGGGACAACAGUUGGAAACGACUGCUAAUACCGCAUAAGCGCACAGCUUCGCAUGAAGCAGUGUGAAAAACUCCGGUGGUAUGAGAUGGACCCGCGUCUGAUUAGCUAGUUGGUGGGGUAACGGCCCACCAAGGCGACGAUCAGUAGCCGACCUGAGAGGGUGACCGGCCACAUUGGGACUGAGACACGGCCCAAACUCCUACGGGAGGCAGCAGUGGGGAAUAUUGCACAAUGGGCGAAAGCCUGAUGCAGCGACGCCGCGUGAGCGAAGAAGUAUUUCGGUAUGUAAAGCUCUAUCAGCAGGGAAGAAAAUGACGGUACCUGACUAAGAAGCACCGGCUAAAUACGUG